Molecule: long non-coding RNA, 315 nt
Filed under: Elaeis guineensis (African oil palm)
Lineage: Eukaryota; Viridiplantae; Streptophyta; Magnoliopsida; Arecales; Arecaceae
Description: long non-coding RNA (EGUI_LNC037895)
Source: RNAcentral
UGUGGGAGUGCGGUGUACCACAAUCCACCAUGGACUGAUGGUCUAUGAGGCAUUCUGUGGAUCGAUGGAUCUAUUCUCUGCCAUUUUUCACGGUCUAUGGUGGACCAACGGGCAUUUUCAUGUGGUUUCUCACAAUGUAGAGGGUUUUCAUGGAUCGGACGUGCGAUCGGAUGGUAUGGGCAUGAUUCUGUACUUGAUCGAGCGGUCCAGAUGCUGAUCAGGGGCGUACAGCAUAUGCUAAGGUGCGAUCGAACGGCCCAGUGAGCAAGCGGUCGCAAUCCAAUGAUGAAAUGGCUUGUUGUGUGCUAUCAAGAG